This 80-nucleotide transfer RNA is filed under the name Podarcis lilfordi (Lilford's wall lizard). RNAcentral's name for it is "tRNA.Ala". Lineage: Eukaryota; Metazoa; Chordata; Lepidosauria; Squamata; Lacertidae. The record is from RNAcentral.
GGCCAUAGUUCAGUGGCAGAUCAUCUGCCUUGCAUGCAGAAGGUCCCUGGUUCAAUCCCCAACAUUUCCAGGCAUGACUA